RNAcentral lists this ribosomal RNA (301 nucleotides) under uncultured bacterium. RNAcentral describes it as "partial 16S ribosomal RNA". It matches the Rfam family "Bacterial small subunit ribosomal RNA", at positions 509 to 807 of the family's 1533-position model. The record is from RNAcentral.
CAGUCGCCGCGGUAAUGCGAAGGGGGCUAGCGUUGCUCGGAAUGACUGGGCGUAAAGGGCGCGUAGGCGGUUUGCCAAGUUAGAUGUGAAAUUCCUGGGCUCAACCUAGGAAUUGCAUUUGAUACUGUUUGGCUUGAGUUCGGGAGAGGUGAGUGGAAUUCCCAGUGUAGAGGUGAGAUUCGUAGAUAUUGGGAAGAACACCAGUGGCGAAGGCGGCUCACUGGACCGACACUGACGCUGAGGCGCGAAAGCGUGGGGAGCAAACAGGAUUAGAUACCCCUGUAGUCCCUGUCUCUUAUAC